Molecule: long non-coding RNA, 1675 nt
Filed under: Bos indicus x Bos taurus (hybrid cattle)
Lineage: Eukaryota; Metazoa; Chordata; Mammalia; Artiodactyla; Bovidae
Description: lncRNA (ENSBIXG00005020751.1)
Source: RNAcentral
AUAGGUGGCACCUGUCAACGCAAAUCGCUCACUCUUGGACCAGGCUUCCCUCGGGUCUGGAGGGCCCUUCUUUCACCAGGACCCUGCGUGUGUGUGUGUGUGUGUGUGUGUGUUGUGUGUCUGUCUACACCCACGUAUGUGCCUGUGUCUGUACGUGUGUGUGUCUGUGUGUGUAUCUCUGUCUGUGUGUGUGUGUCUGUGUGUAUCUGUAUGUGUGUGUCUGUGGUGUGUCUAUGUCUGCAUGUGUUCCUGCGUGUGUGUGUGUCUGUACCGUGUGUAUAUCUCUGUCUGUGUCUGUGUGUGUGUCUGUGUGUGUAUGUAUCUCUGUGUGUGUCAGGGUGUGUGUAUCUGUGUGUGUCUGUAUGUGUCUCUGUGUAUCUGUGUGUGUGUGUCUCUGUGUGUACUUAUGGGUAUGUAUCUGGUCUGUGUGUGUGUGUCUGUUUCUCUGUGUGUGUCUGUAUGUUUGUGUGUGUGUCUCUCUGUGUGUGUCUGUGUGUGUGUGUCUCUGUGUGUCUUUGUGUGUACUUAUGUGUCUGUAUCUGGUCUCUGUGUGUGCCUGUGUACGUCUGUGUAUGUUUGUGUGUCUGUGUCUCUGUGUGUGUGUGUGUGUCUGUGUGUGUGUGUCUCUCUCUACGUGUGUCUGUGUGUAUGUGUCUGUGUGUCUGUCUCUGUGUGUCUGUCUCUGUGUGUACUUACGUGUCUGUGUCUGGUCUGUGUGUGUGUGUGUCUGUAUCAUGUGUAUAUCUCUGUCUGUGUCUGUGUGUGUGUCUGUGUGUGUAUGUAUCUCUGUGUGUGUCAGGGUGUGUGUAUCUGUGUGUGUGUCUCUCUCUGCGUGUGUCUGUGUGUGUGUGUGUGCAUGUAUGUGCCCUCAGCUCCAUGUGGGUCACAAACUCAAGGACAGUUUAUGGGAUGUACUUCUCUCCCUUCAGGUCCAGAGUCCCUUGUGUGAUCCACUCUGCACGUGGUUUCUGGGGGGUGGCUUUGCGGUCCUGUGAAGUCGCCGAGAGCUGGUCACAAGGGCUGUGGACGGUGGCCUGGACGUGCGAGGGUCCGUCUGUGCGGAGUUCCGUCUUGCCAAAGCGCUCUCGUGUAUAUCACCUCACUCGGCUCUCACGCGCACCUGGAGUGAUGCAGGCCAGGAUCUCGGCCUUCUGUACAGGACUGAGGCCCCACAGGGCUGGCAGAGGCCCCAGGAUCACUCAGGCAGAGGGGUCUGCAGGGGCCAGCCGCCCCCUGCCUAUCUGAGAAGCACCUGCUCACCCCAAGUCACUGUUUUCUGUACAUAUGAAACCUUACAAUAUGUGCAGAAAGGAAUGGCUCCUCCCCCCACCAGAACUGAGGCAGAUGGAGCUGGGGGCGGGGGGGUGUCUGACAUCGUCCCCCCAGGACCCACAGCCACUUAACUAACAAGAGAGCCUUCAAGCCCCCAGGCGUCAGCUCUCUCUACCACAUCCAACAUCUCCUAAAGAUCUGGGCCUCACCUUGAACGUUGAAUCUGCUCUAGAAUUUUCAACCCAGAAGAAAAGAGGCAUUAGGGUUUCCCUGGUCAGCUGGGCCUCUCCAACAUAAGACAUUAAAGUCACCAAAUAUUUAUGGAGAUAAACAGUUACCGCAGGCUCUGGGCAGAGCUGGGAGCACUGGGGAAAUGGAAGCAGUCUCCCAGCAGAAACCCAGG